CCUACGGGGGGCAGCAGUGAGGAAUAUUGGUCAAUGGACGAGAGUCUGAACCAGCCAAGUAGUGUGAAGGAUGACUGCCCUAUGGGUUGUAAACUUCUUUUAUAUGGGAAUAAAAUGUUCCACGUGUGGGAUUUUGUAUGUACCAUAUGAAUAAGGAUCGGCUAACUCCGUGCCAGCAGCCGCGGUAAUACGGAGGAUCCGAGCGUUAUCCGGAUUUAUUGGGUUUAAAGGGAGCGUAGGUGGAUUGUUAAGUCAGUUGUGAAAGUUUGCGGCUCAACCGUAAAAUUGCAGUUGAAACUGGCAGUCUUGAGUACAGUAGAGGUGGGCGGAAUUCGUGGUGUAGCGGUGAAAUGCUUAGAUAUCACGAAGAACUCCGAUUGCGAAGGCAGUUCACUGGACUGCAACUGACACUGAGGCUCGAAAGUGUGGGUAUCAAACAGGAUUAGAUACCCGGGUAGUC
Molecule: ribosomal RNA, 460 nt
Filed under: uncultured bacterium
Lineage: Bacteria
Description: partial 16S ribosomal RNA
Rfam family: Bacterial small subunit ribosomal RNA
Source: RNAcentral